RNAcentral lists this ribosomal RNA (253 nucleotides) under uncultured bacterium. RNAcentral describes it as "partial 16S ribosomal RNA". It matches the Rfam family "Bacterial small subunit ribosomal RNA", at positions 524 to 776 of the family's 1533-position model. The record is from RNAcentral.
UACGUAGGGGGCAAGCGUUGUCCGGAAUCAUUGGGCGUAAAGGGCGUGCAGGCGGUCAGGUAAGUGGGAUGUGAAAUGCCCCGGCUCACCCGGGGACCGGCAUCUCAUACUGCUUGGCUUGAGUACGGGAGAGGAUGUGGGAAUUCCUGGUGUAGCGGUGAAAUGCGUAGAUAUCAGGAGGAACACCGGUGGCGAAGGCGCACAUCUGGCCCGAUACUGACGCUGAGGCGCGAAAGCUAGGGGAGCAAACGGG